Molecule: ribosomal RNA, 458 nt
Filed under: uncultured bacterium
Lineage: Bacteria
Description: partial 16S ribosomal RNA
Rfam family: Bacterial small subunit ribosomal RNA
Source: RNAcentral
CCUACGGGUGGCAGCAGUGGGGAAUAUUGCACAAUGGGGGAAACCCUGAUGCAGCGACGCCGCGUGAGUGAAGAAGUAAUUCGUUACGUAAAGCUCUAUCAGCAGGGAAGAAACACUGACCUUACGGUCAGCAGACGGUACCUGAGUAAGAAGCCCCGGCUAACUACGUGCCAGCAGCCGUGGUAAUACGUAGGGGGCAAGCGUUAUCCGGAUUUACGGGGUGUAAAGGGAGCGUAGACGGUGCGCCAAGUCGGGAGUGAAAUGCCGCAGCUUAACUGCGGAACUGCUUUGGAAACUGGCGGACUAGAGUGCGGGAGGGGUGAGCGGAAUGUCUAGUGUAGCGGUGAAAUGCGUAGAUAUUAGGAAGAACACCGGUGGCGAAGGCGGCUUACUGGACCGUAACUGACGUUGAGGCUCGAAAGCGUGGGGAGCAAACAGGAUUAGAUACCCUUGUAGUC